GGCUCUGUGGCGCAAUGGAUAGCGCAUUGGACUUCUAAUUCAAAGGUUGUGGGUUCGAAUCCCAUCAGAGUCG
Molecule: transfer RNA, 73 nt
Filed under: Xenopus tropicalis (tropical clawed frog)
Lineage: Eukaryota; Metazoa; Chordata; Amphibia; Anura; Pipidae
Description: tRNA-Arg (TCT) (tRNA-Arg-TCT-17 1 to 13)
Rfam family: tRNA
About the family: Transfer RNA (tRNA) molecules are approximately 80 nucleotides in length. Their secondary structure includes four short double-helical elements and three loops (D, anti-codon, and T loops).
Source: RNAcentral